GGACCACCCGGUCAUUCACGGGUCGAGGCCAUACGGACAGCCGGGUCCACUGCCGA
This 56-nucleotide small RNA is filed under the name unclassified sequences. RNAcentral describes it as "Streptococcus sRNA SpF59 (ldcC RNA)". It matches the Rfam family "Streptococcus sRNA SpF59 (ldcC RNA)". The record is from Rfam by way of RNAcentral.